RNAcentral lists this ribosomal RNA (496 nucleotides) under uncultured bacterium. RNAcentral's name for it is "partial 16S ribosomal RNA". It matches the Rfam family "Bacterial small subunit ribosomal RNA", at positions 28 to 506 of the family's 1533-position model. The record is from RNAcentral.
GAUGAACGCUGGCGGCGUGCCUAAUACAUGCAAGUCGAGCGAACAGACGAGGAGCUUGCUCCUCUGACGUUAGCGGCGGACGGGUGAGUAACACGUGGAUAACCUACCUAUAAGACUGGGAUAACUUCGGGAAACCGGAGCUAAUACCGGAUAAUAUAUUGAACCGCAUGGUUCAAUAGUGAAAGACGGUUUUGCUGUCACUUAUAGAUGGAUCCGCGCCGCAUUAGCUAGUUGGUAAGGUAACGGCUUACCAAGGCAACGAUGCGUAGCCGACCUGAGAGGGUGAGCGGCCACACUGGAACUGAGACACGGUCCAGACUCCUACGGGAGGCAGCAGUAGGGAAUCUUCCGCAAUGGGCGAAAGCCUGACGGAGCAACGCCGCGUGAGUGAUGAAGGUCUUCGGAUCGUAAAACUCUGUUAUUAGGGAAGAACAAAUGUGUAAGUAACUAUGCACGUCUUGACGGUACCGAAGCAGAAAGCCACGGCUAACUACGG